This 71-nucleotide transfer RNA is filed under the name Verrucomicrobiota bacterium. RNAcentral's name for it is "Verrucomicrobia bacterium (mine drainage metagenome) tRNA-Met". It matches the Rfam family "tRNA". From Rfam's summary of the family: Transfer RNA (tRNA) molecules are approximately 80 nucleotides in length. Their secondary structure includes four short double-helical elements and three loops (D, anti-codon, and T loops). Further hydrogen bonds mediate the characteristic L-shaped molecular structure. tRNAs have two regions of fundamental functional importance: the anti-codon, which is responsible for specific mRNA codon recognition, and the 3' end, to which the tRNAs corresponding amino acid is attached (by aminoacyl-tRNA synthetases). tRNAs cope with the degeneracy of the genetic code in two manners: having more than one tRNA (with a specific anti-codon) for a particular amino acid; and 'wobble' base-pairing, i.e. permitting non-standard base-pairing at the 3rd anti-codon position. The record is from RNAcentral. Lineage: Bacteria; Pseudomonadati; Verrucomicrobiota.
CGCAGGAUGGAGAAACGGUAUCUCACGAGGCCCAUAACCUCGGGUUCCGGGUUCGACCCCCGGUCCUGCUA